This 254-nucleotide ribosomal RNA is filed under the name uncultured bacterium. Its description in RNAcentral is "partial 16S ribosomal RNA". It matches the Rfam family "Bacterial small subunit ribosomal RNA", at positions 524 to 776 of the family's 1533-position model. The record is from RNAcentral.
UACGUAGGGUGCAAGCGUUGUCCGGAAUCAUUGGGCGUAAAGGGCGCGUAGGUGGCUUCUUAAGCGUGCGGUGAAAGCCUGGGGCUCAACCCCGGGUCGGCCGUGCGAACUGGGGGGCUGGAGCACUGUAGAGGCAGGCGGAAUUCCGGGUGUAGCGGUGGAAUGCGUAGAGAUCCGGAAGAACACCGGUGGCGAAGGCGGCCUGCUGGGCAGUUGCUGACACUGAGGCGCGGACAGCGUGGGGAGCAAACAGG